AAUAAUAAUAAUAAUAAUAAUAAUAAUAAUAAUAAUAAUAAUAUAAAGUUUCUCUCAGGUGAAUUUAGAUAAUGUAUUAUGUCUGUUGUUAUAGAGUAUUUGCAUGUUAUAUCUGCACAAAACUAGCCAUGGAUAUUAUGGUAUGGAUCCCUGUUGACACCAUGGAGGAAAAAAAAGAAAAAGCUUAUUGUGACUUUAUAUUGCACAAUUCUGACUUUAUUUCUUACAAGUGUAAAUCUCGCAAUUCUGACUUUAUUUCUUACAAGUGUAAAUCUCGCAAUUCUGACUUUAUUUCUUACAAGUUUAAAUCUCGCAAUUCUGACUUUAUUUCUCACAAUUACAAGUUUAAAUCUUAUAAUUCUCACUAUUUCUCGUGAUUUUGAGGUUACAUCUCACAAUGCUGACUCUAUUUCUCGGAAUUUUGAAUUUAUUUCUCACAAUUGCCAUUUUACAUCUCACAAUGCUGACUUUUUUCUUUUGUAAACUCGUAAUUGCAAGAAAUAAAGUCAAAAUUGCACAGUGUGAACUUUUGCAGAAACAAAUGUCAGAAUUGCGAGAUUUAUUGUGAGAUAUAAACUCUGAGAUAUAAAGUCAAAAUUGUGAGAUAUAAAGUCAAAUGGUGAGAUAUAAACUCAAAAUUGUAAGCUAUAAAGUCAAAUUGUGAGAUAUAAACUCUGAGAUAUAAAAUAUAAAGUCGAAUUGUGAGAUAUGAACUCUGACAUAUAAACUCAAAAUUGUGAGAUAUAAAGUCGAAUUGUGAGAUAUGAACUCUGAGAUAUAAACUCAACAUUGUGAGAUAUAAAGUCGAAUUUUGAGAUAUGGUAAAUGGUGCUUUUAUCCAAAGCACUUUACACUAUGUCUCAUUCACCCAUUCACACACACACUCACACACCAAUGGUAGCAGAGCAGCCAUGCAAGGCGCUAACUUGCCAUCAGGAGCAACUCGGGGUUCAGUGUCUUGCCCAAGGACACUUCGGUAUGUGGAGUCAUGCGGGCCAGGAAUCGAACCGCCGACCCUACGAUUAGUCUACCACCUGAGCCACAGCCGCACAGAUAUAAACUCAAAAUGGUGAGAUAUAAACUCAAAAUUGUAAGCUAUAAAGUUGAAU
Molecule: long non-coding RNA, 1109 nt
Organism: Ictalurus punctatus (channel catfish)
Lineage: Eukaryota; Metazoa; Chordata; Actinopteri; Siluriformes; Ictaluridae
Source: Ensembl